Molecule: ribosomal RNA, 451 nt
Filed under: uncultured soil bacterium
Lineage: Bacteria
Description: bacterial SSU rRNA
Rfam family: Bacterial small subunit ribosomal RNA
Source: RNAcentral
AGAACGAACGCUGGCGGCAUGCCUAACACAUGCAAGUCGAACGAGACCUUCGGGUCUAGUGGCGCACGGGUGCGUAACGCGUGGGAAUCUGCCCUUGGGUUCGGGAUAACAGUUGGAAACGACUGCUAAUACCGGAUAAUGACUUCGGUCCAAAGAUUUAUUGCCCAGGGAUGAGCCCGCGUAGGAUUAGCUAGUUGGUGAGGUAAAGGCUCACCAAGGCGACGAUCCUUAGCUGGUCUGAGAGGAUGAUCAGCCACACUGGGACCGAGACACGGCCCAGACUCCUACGGGAGGCAGCAGUGGGGAAUAUUGGACAAUGGGCGAAAGCCUGAUCCAGCAAAUGCCGCGUGAGUGAUGAAGGCCUUAGGGUGUAAAGCUCUUUUUACCCGGGAUGAUAAUGACAGUACCGGAGAAUAAAGCCCCCGGCUAAACUCCGUGCCAAGCAAGCCGC